Molecule: ribosomal RNA, 497 nt
Filed under: uncultured bacterium
Lineage: Bacteria
Description: partial 16S ribosomal RNA
Rfam family: Bacterial small subunit ribosomal RNA
Source: RNAcentral
GAUGAACGCUGGCGGCGUGCCUAAUACAUGCAAGUCGAGCGAACAGACGAGGAGCUUGCUCCUCUGACGUUAGCGGCGGACGGGUGAGUAACACGUGGAUAACCUACCUAUAAGACUGGGAUAACUUCGGGAAACCGGAGCUAAUACCGGAUAAUAUAUUGAACCGCAUGGUUCAAUAGUGAAAGACGGUUUUGCUGUCACUUAUAGAUGGAUCCGCGCCGCAUUAGCUAGUUGGUAAGGUAACGGCUUACCAAGGCAACGAUGCGUAGCCGACCUGAGAGGGUGAUCGGCCACAGUGGAACUGAACCGCGCUCCAGACUACGACGGGAGGGCGCAGGAGGGAAUCUUCCGCAGUGGGGGAAGUUUGGACGGAGCAGCGCCGGGUGAGUGAUGAAGGUUUUGGGAUCGAAAAACUUUUUUAUGGGGGAAAAAAAAAUGUAAAAGUAACUAUGCCCGUCUUGACGGUACCUAAUAAAAAAGCCACGGCUAACUCCGUG